Molecule: long non-coding RNA, 1250 nt
Filed under: Olea europaea subsp. europaea
Lineage: Eukaryota; Viridiplantae; Streptophyta; Magnoliopsida; Lamiales; Oleaceae
Source: RNAcentral
AUCUAAUAACAACUUUAAAAUUGUACAAAAUAAAGGAUUAAAAUGCAUAAUUGCUUUUUGCUUACCGGAAGAAUAUAUCAAGACACGUAAAUCUCAUAAGAGAAUUCCAUAUUUAUGAAACAGGUGGAUGACUUUUGGUUCAUUUUACCAAUGGCGACUGAACCAUUCGGCAGAAGAGAACGGGGAUAUGCGUAACCCUCUAAUCAAUUAUCAAUCUAAUGUUAAACAUUACGGCUCGAGCUCGACCGGCCCAAGCGGCAGUAUAGCUUGGAAGCGUUCCUUAAGUUUCAAAACCGGACGUCAAACUCGAAUAUACGUAGAAAUAAUAGAAUACAGGGGAAGCAUUAUAACGUAUAAAAAGCAAAAGGAUACAAAGUUUCCAGCUUCUAAAAACGGGAAUUUCCCAUCCUACAAAAAUCAAAAUCAAAAGAUAGAAAGAGAGAACGGGUCAUUUCUCACUGUCCUUUCCUAUUUUAUGGCACUAAUAAUCUGGUGUGUUACAAGGAACUUGUAGUCCAAAGCACAAGUGAACUUAAAUACACUGUUUUCUGAACAUUGGCUUUCAAGGUCUUGCCAUUUUCAAUACCUUGGAUGAAUUCAUGUAAAAAGUCUUCACCAUGAAGGAUAUUUCUUCUCUCAUGCCCCUUGUAAGCAUCUACACUUAUGAUGGCCUAUCUAUCUAUAACUUCUGACUCACUAUUCUCACUACAGUCUGGAAUUGCUGAAGAUGACGAUAAAACUCCCUUUCCCUUGACGUCAGCUGUUCCUGGAUCCACGGUCCUCUUGGCAUCUGAUGUUUGUAUGAGCUUCAGCUGGUGUUGCAGAAACUGUACACAAUAGAGGUACCUAUGGUGAAAUCCAAGUAAAACAAUAUAUUUGAAAAAGCAAGGGAUGUAUGCGGUGAUAUUUAUUUUUUGUUUUAUGUUUAUUUUUUCCAGGUUCAAACCGUCAUCGGUAGAUUCCAUCUCUUGCUCUCUAACAUAGGCAUCUAAUAUGCUGGUGGUAUUUCUAUAUGAAAAGGUGCUCAUUAUUAUGUUGUAUAUUUGAGAACAAGUUCUCCUUUCAUCAGUUUAGUGAAACACUUAAAAAUGUAUAUAUUCAGAUUUCCAGAAGUAUGCCCAAAAAUGAACACUUCCAUCUGAUUUUAGUUUACCGACAGAUCCUACCAAAACCAAAGGUUAUGAACACGUAGAGAAACCUGUGCGAGAACAGUGAAGACCAGCAAUAGUUGUUGAGGCUUCCACACAUAC